This 265-nucleotide unclassified non-coding RNA is filed under the name Glomeromycetes sp. RNAcentral's name for it is "partial internal transcribed spacer 2". The stretch from base 1 to 71 matches the Rfam family "5.8S ribosomal RNA", at positions 84 to 154 of the family's 154-position model. Lineage: Eukaryota; Fungi; Glomeromycota; Glomeromycetes. The record is from RNAcentral.
GUGAAUCAUCGAAUUUUUGAACGCAUAUUGCACCAUCUGGUAUUCCUGAGAGUAUGCCUAUUUGAGUGUCAUUUGAAAUAAUAUAAAUUUCGAGUUUUUCUUUAAAUCAAAAAUAGUUCGGUCCAGCUGUCGUGUGGUGGUUCCCUAAAAUGCAAGACAGUCUCAUUUCUUGAGUUUCGUGAUACUUUCAGUUACCUCUUGACUUCACAAGAAAUCUUCGAUCAGGUUAAGAAUUGUGCAAGAAAUAAACUUCAUUUAUCUCACC